CGCCGUCGUCCGUCGCGUCGCUUACAUCGUUUCCAUCCGUUUCGGUCGGCCAAAGCGCUGUCCUUGACGUCACGGAUCUCUGAGCUGCGGCGGUGUCCGCGUGGUCCUAAAGUACGUCGUGUUUACCUCGCCCCCCUCCGUUGACGCUGGGCCCGAAAGAAGUGCUGCAAUAAAGUACACAUUCGAGAUCCGAUUACGCCCUCCGCCACCUGGACGUCUCCACGCCGGCGUGUCAGCGUGGUCCACGGUCAUCUGAUGGCCGCAGCUGAAACAUGCGGCGAAGCCUUUGGCCGUCAUUUCACUUCCCCCUUUACUUCCUUUGCAGAACGACCAGCCUGUGUUGUUUCAGGCUGACCGCGAGCAGCCACACACACACACACACAGGACGCGUACACACAGACAAUGGAGUAGAAGCGCUGCUCGGCCUUCUGGGUACAGGCUGCUCGUUGGGUCCUCCAGGCGUAACGCUCUUAUUUCAUCUCGUGGGAUACGGUGUCAACAAUUAUCCAAAAGGCAGCACACUGUAGGGUUUGUAGAGCAUGUAAGAUGCCUUUAUUCUACAUGGCACAUUGAUUCUACCUCCUUCAGCUCAUGGGUGGAGGUCUGGAUCGUGGUCCAUGCCUACCACCAACUAUUCAUACACUCUGUUCACUUUUUUCCCCAUGAAAGUUUUUUCCUGUUUUUUGGGGAGUUUUUUCCUGAUCCGAUGUGAGGUCAAAUGUCAGGGAUGUCGUAUGUGUACGGACUGUAAAGCCCUCUUUAGGGAAUUUGUAAUUUGUGAUAUCGGGCUGUAUAAAAUAAACUGAAUUGAAUCUAAAAUGA
Pseudoliparis swirei is the source of this 822-nucleotide long non-coding RNA. RefSeq lists it as uncharacterized. The transcript has 3 exons. The record is from RefSeq and is a predicted model, not a curated record. Lineage: Eukaryota; Metazoa; Chordata; Actinopteri; Perciformes; Liparidae.